GUGGACGUAGCUCAGUUGGUAGAGCCCCGGAUUGUGAUUCCGGUUGUCGUGGGUUCAAUCCCCAUCGUUCACC
Gammaproteobacteria bacterium GWE2_42_36 is the source of this 73-nucleotide non-coding RNA. Lineage: Bacteria; Pseudomonadati; Pseudomonadota; Gammaproteobacteria. The record is from Rfam.